RNAcentral lists this microRNA precursor (68 nucleotides) under Bombyx mori (domestic silkworm). Its description in RNAcentral is "mir-2774 microRNA precursor family". It matches the Rfam family "mir-2774 microRNA precursor family". The record is from Rfam by way of RNAcentral. Lineage: Eukaryota; Metazoa; Arthropoda; Insecta; Lepidoptera; Bombycidae.
AGAACAUUCGGACCGUCGGUCUACCGAGCAAAUAUCACCCGCUCAGUGGAAGAUCUUCCCUUGGUCUU